Molecule: long non-coding RNA, 904 nt
Organism: Juglans regia (Persian walnut)
Lineage: Eukaryota; Viridiplantae; Streptophyta; Magnoliopsida; Fagales; Juglandaceae
Exons: 3
Source: RefSeq, a predicted model, not a curated record
GGAGGCAGGAGGUCUUCACCAGACGGUGCUGCGUCGCAAGGGGAUUAGAGAAAAUGGCCAAUCUGGGCUUCUAAACCAAUGGUCGACACUGCACCUCCUCCACUGGUUCUGCCCUUACGCAGCACCGCAUUAUUUCGUCUCCUCAGUCUUGCUACCGGCCACAAAAACCGUCUAUCUUCGUCUCUCGCUAAUCAGUGCCUUCGGCUAACCGUAACGUCCAUCACCUGCCACGCGACCUCAAAUUGUCCAAUGCCCCAAUACGGUCUGAUCUCGAAGAAGGCGGUGGCAGCGACUUGGAUCCCAAUGUAAGGAAGAGCCGAAACCAGAUAAAGCGUGAGGCUCGGCUCGCCGUCCGUCGGAGCAUUGAACUCCUAUCCUUUUUUACUCCUCGAAUCAAACGUACACUCAGGUGCCCCCGCCAAUAUUCCCUUGCUGCGAAAACAGCCCUGUAUACAUUAUUUUCUUACGAAUUACGAAUUCAAUUGAGCUCAAAUUGACGUUGAUAAAUACCGAGUAGCUUCCCUUGUCGAAGAGGCGUUCGAAGCUCUAAUGCCAGUGAAGGUGCUUCUGUAGUUGUAGACUUGUUUUCUGUGAUAAACUACGACAGGAUGUGCAGCGUGAAUUAUGGAUGGAUGGCUUGAUUCAGGACAAAAGAUGGUGUCCAGAGGAGGCUGCAGGCUUUGUCCGUUUCAAUGGUUAGGGGAGAGGAUGAUCAUGAAGAAGCAGAAGAAAGGAUCUGAUCAUAAAGACAUUAACAUAACAACCAGAUGGUUUGAAGGUCUGUUCGAUAAGGACAUUACAAUCAACGACGAAGUUUAUUCAGUUCAGAGUGUUGAAUUUAGAGUAAUGCUACACAUACAGUCGUGGAGUCUGUAAGCACCGCGCAAUCCUUUUAAAAAAGAGU